RNAcentral lists this ribosomal RNA (781 nucleotides) under uncultured archaeon. RNAcentral's name for it is "bacterial SSU rRNA". It matches the Rfam family "Archaeal small subunit ribosomal RNA", at positions 8 to 795 of the family's 1478-position model. The record is from RNAcentral.
UUGAUCCUGCCAGUCCUGACUGCUAUCGGAUUGAUACUAAGCCAUGCGAGUCAUUGUAGCAAUACAAGGCAGACGGCUCAGUAACGCGUAGUCAAUCUACCCUAUGGACGGGAAUAACCUCGGGAAACUGAGAAUAAUGCCCGAUAGAACAUUAUGCCUGGAAUGGUUUAUGUUUCAAAUGAUUUAUCGCCAUAGGAUGGGACUGCGGCCUAUCAGUUUGUUGGUGAGGUAAUGGCCCACCAAGACUAUUACAGGUACGGGCUCUGAGAGGAGUGGCCCGGAGAUGGGUACUGAGACACGGACCCAGGCCCUAUGGGGCGCAGCAGGCGAGAAAACUUUGCAAUGUGCGAAAGCACGACAAGGUUAAUCCGAGUGGUUUCUGCUAAAGAAACCUUUUGUCAGUCCUAGAAACACUAACGAAUAAGGGGUGGGCAAGUUCUGGUGUCAGCCGCCGCGGUAAAACCAGCACCUCAAGUGGUCAGGAUGAUUAUUGGGCCUAAAGCAUCCGUAGCUCGUUUUGUAAGUUUUCGGUUAAAUCCAUGCGCUUAACGUAUGGGCUGCCGGGAAUACUGCAUAACUAGGAAGUGGGAGAGGUAGACGGUACUCGGUAGGAAGGGGUAAAAUCCUUUGAUCUAUUGAUGACCACCUGUGGCGAAGGCGGUCUACCAGAACACGUUCGACGGUGAGGGAUGAAAGCUGGGGGAGCAAACCGGAUUAGAUACCCGGGUAGUCCCAGCUGUAAACUAUGCAAACUCAGUGAUGCAUUGGCUUGUGGCCAAUG